Molecule: RNA transcript, 2084 nt
Organism: Nicotiana attenuata
Lineage: Eukaryota; Viridiplantae; Streptophyta; Magnoliopsida; Solanales; Solanaceae
Gene name: protein LAZ1-like
Exons: 8
Source: RefSeq, a predicted model, not a curated record
AUCCUCGGAAUAUCCGAAUAAAGGGCGGCUUCUUUAAUUCUUUCUCAACAGUAAAAUUCAGUAGUAGUACCAAUUAUUUUUUCAACAGUAUUACCAAUUCAAAAUUAGGAAAACUGUUAAAGCUAAUGGUACAUUAACAAGUUCAAUUUGGAAAUAAUCCAUUUUCAAAAUUAGCAAAGAUUUUCAAGCAAAAUCCCUCAAACCGAUCGUUCAAAAUUUAAUUCAAAUUUAAAAAAUCCGAUCAUCGGAAAAAAAUCAAACUUUCCGACGAACCAUAAACCCUAAGACGUAGCUGAUGCAGAGGAUAAUAUCAAUUUCAUCGGAUUAUUUGAAUCGAAUAAUCCAGAAUCUUCAUAGCAGUUAUUCGCCGCCAAUAUGGGCAACUGUAGUUGCUGGAUUCUUCGUAAUCCUUACUCUCACACUUUCUACGUAUCUCAUCUUCGAACACCUUUCAGUUUACAAAAAUCCCGAGGAACAAAAGUUUUUGAUUGGAGUAAUAUUGAUGGUGCCUUGUUAUGCUGUUGAAUCAUUUGUGUCAUUGGUAAAUCCAGCGAUUAGUGUUGACAUCGGGAUACUACGUGAUUGCUAUGAAUCCUUUGCAAUGUACUGCUUUGGGAGGUAUCUUGUUGCAUGUUUAGGUGGGGAAAAGAGAACCAUAGAAUUUAUGAAGAGGGAAGGACGCGCAGGUUCAAAGAUGCCACUACUAGAGCAUGGCUCUGAAAAGGGGAUUGUUAAGCAUCAUUUUCCCAUGAAAUAUAUUUUCAAGCCAUGGAAACUUGGUCAGUGGGUAUACCAAGUUAUCAAGUUCGGAAUUUUCCAAUAUGUGAUAAUCAAAGCAUUUACUGCUACUUUGGCAGUGAUUCUUGAAGCUUUUGAUGUAUAUUGUGAAGGAGACUUCAAAUGGAAUUGUGGGUAUCCAUAUAUGGCCGUGGUUUUAAAUUUCAGUCAAUCAUGGGCAUUGUAUUGCUUAGUUCAAUUUUAUACUAUUGCAAAGGAUGAAUUAUCUCACAUCAAGCCGCUGUACAAGUUUCUAACAUUCAAGUCAAUUGUUUUCUUAACUUGGUGGCAAGGCGUGGUGAUAGCCCUGUGCUCUACACUUGGUUUCUUUAGAAGUCCAAUAGCUCAAGCUUUACAGUUUAAGUCCAGUGUUCAAGAUUUCAUCAUAUGCAUUGAGUACAGAUGGGCAUUGCUUCUGUAGUUCACCUCUAUGUCUUCCCUGCCAAGCCAUACGAGCUGAUGGGAGAGCGUUUUACUGGGGAUGUUGCAGUUCUGGGAGAUUACGUAUCUGCUGACUUGCCAGUAGAUCCUGACGAGGUUAGAGAUAGUGAACGUCCCACCAAGUUACGUCUUCCUCAACCAGAUAUUGAUGAUGGGGGUGGAACUACCAUUAGAGAAAGUGUUAAAGAUAUCUUUAUCGGAGGUGGUGAAUAUAUAGUGAAUGACUUGAAAUUCACAAUAACCCAAGCAGCGGAACCCGUUGAGAAAGGAAUUCAAAAAUUACAUAAAAUCUCUCAGAACAUAAAGAAACACGAUAAAGGGAGAAAAACUAAGGACGACAGUGGCGUUGCCACGUCAUCCCCAACACGAAGAGUCAUACGUGGGAUAGAUGAUCCCCUUUUGAACGGAAGCGUUAGUGAUAGUGGCAUUUCUAGGAAGAAGAGGCACCGUAAAAAAUCUGAAAAUAUCAGUGCAGAAAGUGGUGGAGAGAGUAGCACUGAUCAGAACUUUGGUGGUAUUCAAGUUCGUGGUCGAAGGUGGGUUACUAAGGAUUAACAGAAGGUCUGAGAAGAAAAUUUCCGAACAUUUGUAUGUAUGCAUCUGUUGCUUUGGAAGCCUGCGGUGUUUAAUUCUCCACUACAUUAUUCUUUUGCUUUUCCUACGGGCUUCGUUUACUUGCCCUUUUAGAAAUGAAAGUGCUAUAUUUUAUGAAAGCACUUCUUGAUUGAUUUUUCUGUCAUUGUUGUUGCACAUAAUGGGUCUUGGAAUCUUGUAUAGAGUUAUGUGUGCUCCUGAAUGUAUGAUCCCUCACUAUAGCUGAAUCAGUUAGCCGCUUAUGGUUCUUCUUUAUAAACGUGGUUGGUAUA